Pseudonaja textilis is the source of this 905-nucleotide non-coding RNA. NCBI's taxonomy places the organism in Eukaryota, Metazoa, Chordata, Lepidosauria, Squamata, Elapidae. The record is from the annotation of a RefSeq genome assembly.
AUGGUGACAGUUCCCUGGAAAUUCUCUCUCCACUAUUUCACAGAUCCUCCCAAAGCCCCCAAUGUUUCCCCACUGAUUCCUACUAGCCCAACCCAGGUGGCCAGGGUGACUUCCACUGGCUUCAAUGUUAGCAUUGGUUGCCUCUCAAAGGCUACUUUCCUGAACCAGCCACAGUACAAUGGAAUUCAGGUGCCAUCAUCAGUGGAAUCUACCACUUCCCUCCAGUUCAGCAUGCAUCCAGCCAUACCAUCCUGCUCACCAUCCCUGCCACCCAGUGGGAAUCUGAGUUAUUCUUCCACAAUGUGGCACAUUAAACCACCAACUCCAGAAUCAACAAACAUUUUGGCCAUGAGUCCAGCAAAAUUACUCUUCUCCUUUUUUUUUCUCAAAGCCAAAACACUUGUGCAUAACCAGAAAUCCAAGAUCGUUUGCAUGGUUGUCAAUCUGUAACAGGAAGAGGGGUUGAAAAUAAGCUGGUCACAUGAGAAGCAAAUCGUCAUGCAUCCAGAAUUAGUGGCUGUGAUCGAGGAAAACAAUGGGACCUUCACUGCUGUCAGCCGCCUCCCUGUUCUGCCCAUGACUGGGAAUUGGGAGAGAUUUUCACCUGUUCGGAAGAAUAUCCAGGUUUGCCUGGUCCCAUCAUGAAGACAAUUUCCAAGAGCAGUGAAAAAAGCAAGGCAUCCAUCAUCCAUUGGCUAGAGAAUGGCAUUGCCAUUUCAGAAGAUGAUUACAUCAACACUCCAGCUGUGAAGGAAAGUGGUGAUUCCUACAUCCAGUAUAGCAAAUUGAUAAUCCCUGAUGCAUCUUGGAAUCAUGGGAACAUGUAUAGUUGUAUGGUUAUUCAUGAGGCCUUUGCAACGAAGGUCUCCCAGCAGACCUUCAGGAAAACUUUCGGUAAACGUUGA